This 1646-nucleotide ribosomal RNA is filed under the name Paragonimus westermani. Its description in RNAcentral is "bacterial SSU rRNA". The stretch from base 3 to 645 matches the Rfam family "Eukaryotic small subunit ribosomal RNA", at positions 4 to 1116 of the family's 1831-position model. Lineage: Eukaryota; Metazoa; Platyhelminthes; Trematoda; Plagiorchiida; Troglotrematidae. The record is from RNAcentral.
AUCUGGUUGAUCCAGCCGGUAGUCAUGUGCUCGUCUCAGAGAUUAAGCCACGCAUGUCUAAGUACAUACCUCAAAACGGUGAAACCGCGAAUGGCUCAUUCAAUCAGCUAUGGUUCCCUAGAUCGUACAUACUACAUGGAUAACUGCAGCAAUUCUAGAGCUAAUACAUGCCACUAUGCCCUGACCUGCGAGGGGACGGGUGGAUUUAUUAGAACAGAACCAACCGGUUGUGGCUCCGGUUGCAUCCGUUGUACUCUGUGAUGACUCUGGAUAACUUCAAUGAUCGCGUCGGCCUUGUGUCGGCGACGGAUCUUUCAAAUGUCUGCCCUAUCAAUUUACGAUGGUAGGUGACCUGCCUACCAUGUUGAUAACUGGUAACGGGGAAUCAGGGUUCGAUUCCAGAGAGCGAGUCUGAGAAACGGCUACCACUUCCAAAGAAGGCAGAUCACCCAAUCCCGACACGGUGAGGUAGUGACGAAAAAUACGAAUACGGGACUCAACAGAAACUCCGUAAUUCGAAUGAGUACAAUUUAAAUCCUCUAACGAGGAUCAACUGGAGGGCAAAUCUGGUGCCAGCAGCCGCGGUAACUCCAGCUCCAGAAGCGUAUAUUAAAGUUGUUGCAGUUGAAAAGCCUAUCUUUUCUGUAGGAGCUGAGCCGAGGACCGAACAUCGACCGGCAUCUGGUCGAUCAGCCCAAGCAUCACUAGGCAACGGCCUGGUCUGUGUGUCAAGUGGUAGGCAGUGUGAUAUCUGGCUAGGGAGUUGAGAUAGAGUAUCCGGCCUAAGUCUCGUCAACCAAGCAAGCUAACCCGACGCUUGGAAAUCUGGGACUCCCCCUUGUUGACCUCUCCAAUGUUCUCGACCACGACGAAUCGACUAGUCAAAGUGUCAUCGCUAUAGGACUGGUCGUUUGAGAUUAGGUUUGAGAAAUGUCUCCCAUAAACGACAACCGUGGUUUUCUCGUGAACGAAGUGAGCUAGAGCGGUGUUUUUAAAUCUGGUCCGCCCACCGUUGGUCCCCCUAACGUUUCAGACCACAAGGAGUUUAUUGGUAUCAUUAUCAGCCCUCGAGGACCACCGCUUCAUAUGUUCGGUUUGGGAAAAAUUUCCCGCUAUUUCCCAAUUUCGUGUCAUUAAAAAGUGCAUGCUGGCUUUCUCGCCACUCGCAAGCAAUCAGUAGACUGGGGUUUUCGAUACACUUUUCUCAAGGUUGGUGUCGUUUUGUCGUUCUUUUUCAACGCUUCUCAAUUGUUCUGUUUGCCAUUCCCCGCCCCAUUCAAUGUUCCCGUAGUUGCUCAUUGCGUUGUUACCCAGACUCACUUCUUGUCAUUAUUGCUUUGCGUAGUAAUUUGAUUUCCCCUCAGACGACAUCACUUCUAUUGGUGGUUCUUCUCGCUUUUGGCCAAUCUGCUCCGGUUUCGCGUAUCCGUUUCUGUAUAUCAGCCUUUGAACACAUACUGCUCCCGCUAAGCGUAAGCCUGCCCCACACCUCGCCAUCCCCGUUUCCCUCCCGCGAGUAAUCACGGCCAAGGGCGCAUUCGGCCACUCCCAUAACCCACUUCAGCAAAUAGCCUAGCACCUCCUUUGGUAGCCACGAGCGGGAACCUACGAACGGUUCGUGGCGUGGAUAUCCUCCGUCUUCCCAA